UGGGCAGGUUGAAGGUUGGGUAACACUAACUGGAGGACCGAACCGACUAAUGUUGAAAAAUUAGCGGAUGACCUGUGGCUGGGGGUGAAAGGCCAAUCAAACCGGGAGAUAGCUGGUUCUCCCCGAAAGCUAUUUAGGUAGCGCCUCGUGAAUUCAUCUCCGGGGGUAGAGCACUGUUUCGGCUAGGGGGCCAUCCCGGCUUACCAACCCGAUGCAAACUGCGAAUACCGGAGAAUGUUAUCACGGGAGACACACGGCGGGUGCUAACGUCCGUCGUGAAGAGGGAAACAACCCAGACCGCCAGCUAAGGUCCCAAAGUCAUGGUUAAGUGGGAAACGAUGUGGGAAGGCCCAGACAGCCAGGAUGUUGGCUUAGAAGCAGCCAUCAUUUAAAGAAAGCGUAAUAGCUCACUGGUCGAGUCGGCCUGCGCGGAAGAUGUAACGGGGCUAAACCAUGCACCGAAGCUGCGGCAGCGACACUGUGUGUUGUUGGGUAGGGGAGCGUUCUGUAAGCCUGUGAAGGUGUGUCGUGAGGCAUGCUGGAGGUAUCAGAAGUGCGAAUGCUGACAUAAGUAACGAUAAAGCGGGUGAAAAGCCCGCUCGCCGGAAGACCAAGGGUUCCUGUCCAACGUUAAUCGGGGCAGGGUGAGUCGACCCCUAAGGCGAGGCCGAAAGGCGUAGUCGAUGGGAAACGGGUUAAUAUUCCCGUACUUGGUGUUACUGCGAAGGGGGGACGGAGAAGGCUAUGUUGGCCGGGCGACGGUUGUCCCGGUUUAAGCGUGUAGGUGUGUGUUCCAGGUAAAUCCGGUUCACUUUAACACUGAGGCGUGACGACGAGGCACUACGGUGCUGAAGCAACAAAUGCCCUGCUUCCAGGAAAAGCCUCUAAGCAUCAGGUAACAUCAAAUCGUACCCCAAACCGACACAGGUGGUCAGGUAGAGAAUACCAAGGCGCUUGAGAGAACUCGGGUGAAGGAACUAGGCAAAAUGGUGCCGUAACUUCGGGAGAAGGCACGCUGACACGUAGGUGAAGUGAUUUACUCAUGGAGCUGAAGUCAGUCGAAGAUACCAGCUGGCUGCAACUGUUUAUUAAAAACACAGCACUGUGCAAACACGAAAGUGGACGUAUACGGUGUGACGCCUGCCCGGUGCCGGAAGGUUAAUUGAUGGGGUCAGCGCAAGCGAAGCUCCUGAUCGAAGCCCCGGUAAACGGCGGCCGUAACUAUAACGGUCCUAAGGUAGCGAAAUUCCUUGUCGGGUAAGUUCCGACCUGCACGAAUGGCGUAAUGAUGGCCAGGCUGUCUCCACCCGAGACUCAGUGAAAUUGAACUCGCUGUGAAGAUGCAGUGUACCCGCGGCAAGACGGAAAGACCCCGUGAACCUUUACUAUAGCUUGACACUGAACAUUGAGCCUUGAUGUGUAGGAUAGGUGGGAGGCUUUGAAGUGUGGACGCCAGUCUGCAUGGAGCCGACCUUGAAAUACCACCCUUUAAUGUUUGAUGUUCUAACGUGGACCCGUUACCCGGGUUGCGGACAGUGUCUGGUGGGUAGUUUGACUGGGGCGGUCUCCUCCUAAAGAGUAACGGAGGAGCACGAAGGUUGGCUAAUCCUGGUCGGACAUCAGGAGGUUAGUGCAAUGGCAUAAGCCAGCUUGACUGCGAGCGUGACGGCGCGAGCAGGUGCGAAAGCAGGUCAUAGUGAUCCGGUGGUUCUGAAUGGAAGGGCCAUCGCUCAACGGAUAAAAGGUACUCCGGGGAUAACAGGCUGAUACCGCCCAAGAGUUCAUAUCGACGGCGGUGUUUGGCACCUCGAUGUCGGCUCAUCACAUCCUGGGGCUGAAGUAGGUCCCAAGGGUAUGGCUGUUCGCCAUUUAAAGUGGUACGCGAGCUGGGUUUAGAACGUCGUGAGACAGUUCGGUCCCUAUCUGCCGUGGGCGCUGGAGAACUGAGGGGGGCUGCUCCUAGUACGAGAGGACCGGAGUGGACGCAUCACUGGUGUUCGGGUUGUCAUGCCAAUGGCACUGCCCGGUAGCUAAAUGCGGAAGAGAUAAGUGCUGAAAGCAUCUAAGCACGAAACUUGCCCCGAG
RNAcentral lists this ribosomal RNA (2085 nucleotides) under Salmonella enterica subsp. enterica serovar Enteritidis. Its description in RNAcentral is "partial 23S ribosomal RNA". It matches the Rfam family "Bacterial large subunit ribosomal RNA", at positions 737 to 2803 of the family's 2925-position model. The record is from RNAcentral. Lineage: Bacteria; Pseudomonadati; Pseudomonadota; Gammaproteobacteria; Enterobacterales; Enterobacteriaceae.